Non-coding RNA from Rattus norvegicus (Norway rat), 7343 nucleotides. Lineage: Eukaryota; Metazoa; Chordata; Mammalia; Rodentia; Muridae. The record is from RefSeq and is a predicted model, not a curated record.
CCAUUUCCGCCUUAAUCCUGGACUCUAGUCAUUCCCGGGAGGACAACGGACUCAUUUAAAAAUGAGCCCAGGGACCCUGUAUCUGGGCCUUCCACUCCAGCUGCCCUGCCUUGCCCUCAGGCCCUAGAAAGGUAGGAAGAGAGGGAGGGGUGGACAAGUGUCCGGCUGCAGCUGGCUUGGAAGCUGUCUCGGUUCCUGGUUCCCACCUGAGCCAAGAGUGACACCUGAUCCCGGGGGAUUGUGAAAUGGCUUGAGGUGGCAGGGCGCCCGCACUGCCCGCUGUGCUUCCUACCCGCCUCCUGCACCCCUCACUCGGCCCCGCCCCCCGGCGCGAGUGGUUAAAUCCCCCCCAUUCAGGCUGCAGGUUACACCUGCACCAUGCCUGCUUGUCGCCUCUGCUUGCUGGCCACAGGCCUCCUACUCGGGCUGCUGCUGUUCACCCCCCUCUCAGCCACAGGCACCAGAGCAGAGAAACCCGGUGUGUGCCCCCAGCUCGAACCAAUUACUGACUGUGUGAAGGCGUGCAUCUUGGACAACGACUGCCAGGACAACUACAAGUGCUGCCAGGCCGGCUGCGGCUCUGUCUGCUCCAAGCCUAAUGGGCUGAGCGAAGGAAAACUCUCCAGGACCGCGACGGGUACAACGACUCUAUCAGCCGGCCUUGCCCGCACAUCUCCUCUAUCGAGAGGUCAAGUGUCCACGAAGCCACCCGUUGUGACCAAAGAAGGAGGUAACGGAGAAAAGCAGGGCACCUGCCCCAGCGUGGACUUCCCCAAGCUUGGCCUCUGUGAGGACCAGUGCCAGAUGGACAGCCAGUGUUCUGGCAACAUGAAAUGCUGCCGAAAUGGCUGUGGGAAGAUGGGCUGCACCACACCCAAAUUCUGAGAUGUGGCUUUGGAGAUUCGGAGUCUUUAAUGGAUCUGUGUGAGUUUUAGGAAGCUUUUCCUUUUUUCAGUUAAAGUGUUUUUAUGGUGUGGAAUGUAGAGGUGGUUGAAAGUAGUGUGGACACUUUGGCCAUGAAUUCUUUUUUUUUUUUUUUUCUUUUUUUGGGAGCUGGGGACCGAACCCAGGGCCUUGCGCUUGCUAGGCAAGUGCUCUACCGGUGAGCUAAGUCCCCAACCCCGAAUUCUUUUUAUUUAUGAACCUAGGAUAUUUUUCAUCUAGAUGGUUUUUGUUUUAUGAAUUUCCUUAAUCAAUACUUCAUGACUUUUGGUACAUACAUAUUUUACCUUUUGGAUAAUUUGAAGAACUUCGUUUUUUUUUUCUGUUACUUAUGGAAAUAUGAUUGUUUUCUAGAUUUCCAUUUUGUGUGUAACUUUAUUAGUAUGUGAAUAACGACAGACUUUUAGAUAUUUAAUUUUUAACCGUAAACUUUAAUGAAUAUACUAUUUCUGACUCUGUGUGUAUGUGUAAUCCUUAUAGCUUGCCUCUAUAUAACAUGCAAAUAUGUAUACAGAGGGAUAUGAACAUAUGUGAACAUCUGCAUACAGGUAUGAAGUGGCAAUCAGAAGACACGGUUGCAUUGAGCCCAGCACUCACGCUUUUUCUGGUUUCCCUGUUUGCCAGAGGAUGUGGAAAGGAUCCCAUCCCCCUUCCACUGGCUGAACGAUCUGUUUCCUAGGGUGACUGGAGCCGAGCGUUAUCCUUGAAAUACACAGGACAAUGGACAGUUGUGUACAUAGAGAACUGUGAGCUGAUAUGAACACCUGCAGACAGCAGAUGAGAUAUUCAGACUCUGAGACAUCAGGACUCACAGGAUCCUUUACUAGGAGGAAGUAGAGUCUACACAGGAAUAAAUUUGAACCCUGAAAGUUGAGGUGAUAGGGUCCCAGACGGAGAGGGGGUCAAAGGUCGAAGAUCAUGAUGUCUGAGGAGCAGCUGGGUUUGUGGGAAGGGAAUAAGCAGAUUCUGGGGUUCUGGUUUGGGAACAGCCAAAGUCUCAGUGGCUAAGACUUGGCCGCUGGCAGCCAAUCCAGAGCAUGUGCUGGGCUCACGGGAAGAAAGCCUCAGAUUAGGAGCCAAGACCUGGAGUUUCUUCCAGCUCAUCCUUGUCAUAUCCAGGAAGACAUUUCUGCAAGACACAAGGACAAGGAUGGACACGCUCGGCUCCAGUCACCCUAGGAAACAGAUCGUUCAGCCAGUGGAAGGGGGAUGGGUUCCUUUCCACAUCCUCUGGCAAACAGGGAAACCAGAAAAAGUGUGAGUGCUGGGCUCAAUGCAACCAUGUCUUCUGAUUGCCACUUCAUACCUGUUGUUUCAGUGAGGUGACCACAACAGGCCUCAUGUCCUCCUCUGGAUUGGGCUGGGCUGGGCGCCCCCUACUCCUGUUAACUUCACACUCUCAUGACUCACCUCAGACUUCCAGGUCCUCUCUGCCGACUGCUUCCCUGCUAUUCUCUCCACCUCAGGUCCUUCCGUUCCCACUCCCAGGACUGCCCAGGUCUUGGAAAGGACCAAUGCUCAAAUCUCUGUUUGGAAUUGGUGAACAUGGCUGCUGGGGGAUCUUUAGCACUUACGUUUCUUUUUGCAGACAACUGUGCAGAUACCUUCAGAUUGGAAGUUGUUGGGGUUCCCUUGGCAACCACCAUAGAUGAAUUGGGUACAGAGGCCAGUAUCUUCAUUAUACCACCAGCGUGGGAGGUAGGCCAGGCAGGGGCCAGCAUCCUGUGGCAGACUGCAUAUGUCUGUGGGGAAAUCAUAGGAGACAGAUACUUGGAAGCCUGUGUCCCGAGGGGACAACCCCGCCCCCUUCUGUCCAUUGCUCUUUUUGUCUAGCUCAGAGCUGUGCUCCCACUUCAGUGAGAACUGUGACCAGUCACUGGAAUCUCUUUGGUCUCAGUUUUCUCAUCUGCAGGAUGGUAACACAACUUGCCACCUUGCUUGUUGGGACACGAGGCCUGGAGAGGUGAGGUGGCUCUCCUGAUGUCACAUAGCUGGCGAGGGAGUUAAAUGUAGGUGACCCAGUAGGUGUGCUAGUACGCACUUAGAAUACCAGAUAGCAGGAGGCUGAGGCAGGAGAAUGUCAAAGUUGAGAUCAGCCUCGUCUCCCAGUGAUUCCCUCAUUCAACAACCAGAACCCAAGCAGACCAGAGCCAGGGGUUGGAUCACGGGGAGCAUCAAGGCCCUCCCAGCUCCCUCCUCCAUCCAGCCUCACCUACUCCACUUGGCAGCAUUUCCAGGCCUGAUCAUGGCCCCAUAUCCCAGGGCCUUCCCAUGAGCACUUGUGGGUGUCUGUCAAGCUACUGCUUUGGUAUCUGCGUGCAAACCACCCUCAGUUCCCAAGGCCUGUGUGCCUCUCCCAGGAGAAGCUUUCCUGCCCACAGUGAGUGGGCGGCGCCUUUCAGGGCGAUAUGAGCACCCCAAAUACUUGUUGACUGGUAAAAUUGGGUGGAUAAUUUUGAUGGUCUUUUGUAGGACUCAAGGAUGUGACAGAGAGAACAAAGUACAGGAGGCCAGAGGUUAUCAGAGAGGACAGAGGCCUGGACAAACAAACCAGGAGACACCACACACCUGCCCCAUGCUACACCCACACCUGCCCCAUGCUACACCCACACCUGCCCCAUGCUACACCCACACCUGCCCCAUGCUACACCUAUACCUGCCCCAUGUUACACCCACACCUGCCCCAUGUUACACACACACCUGCCCCGUGAUACACCCACACCUGCCCCAUGUUACACACACACCUGCCCCAUGUUACACCCACACCUGCCCCAUGCUACACCCACACCUGCCCCAUGCUACACCCACACCUGCCCCAUGUUACAUCCCCACCCGCCUCAGGGUAUCCUACAGCCAGACACACUAAUCGUGUUUGAUGAGUCUUUCAUAGCUUCUUGGCAUCUCAGAGCAGCACCACAGAUCAGCUCAAUGGAUCAAAUGACCCAGCACCUCCAUCCAUGUUAAGAUGGGAAAAUGAGGUUCAGAGAGGAAACACCACCAGUCCCACCGUUUGCUGAACGAGAGGAAAACCCUUACAGCACAGAUAAAACGAGUCUCUGUUCAGCACCUACAAGAUUUGCAUCAAGUAGACAAUGCCAGGAACAUACUUGAGAAACACUAGAUUUGUCGCUCAGGAGAGGAGCGGGACAAUGUGAGAGCAGGAGGGCGGGUGGAGCUGUCACAGGACCAGAGAGGUACCUUCCCGGAGGUCCAUGCACUUCUUCCCACAGCUGAAGAAGCAGCAUCUCUUCUUGUCCGGACACUGUCGGUGCCUCGUACACUCAUUUCUUUCUUCAACCUCACACUUCACUCUUACUCUCGGACAUGAUCCUAUAGGGGGAGGAGGAAGAGGAGGAAGAGGAGGAGAUGUGGUCCUGUGAGGUGUUGAAGGGGAUACUGUUCUUCCUUCCCAGUCCCAGGGCACCGCUGCAGAGUUCAGAAAGCCUGUUUGUCCCUCACCUGUCACUAGGAGAAGGCAAUCCUCAGCAGUUCAGGGUUUCACAACACUGGCCACAUCUCCAACCGUAAUGACUCUGGCAUCUAAUUUCUAGUAACUUCUCUAUCCCUCUCUCCACAACCUGUAAGAUUCUCCGGAGGGACCCGCCCCUUUCGGAUCGUUCUGAGCGUUUCGUUUUGUCCUUGGUUGGUCCUUGUAGCUCUCAGUGUUUGCCUACAUUGUUGUCUUGUAGGCUAAUGUGACAAAAUCUGAAAGGCCUUGGUCAGUGAUUCAUGCUGAGGAAGUACUUCCAGGAAACAGUGAGUCAUACUGAGAAAGUGCUUCCGGGGCACAGCGAUUCAUACUGAGGAAGUACUUCCGGGGCACAGUGAUUCAUACUGAGAAGGUGCUUCCGGGGCUUUUGGCCGCUCUCCUCACUCCUCAGUACACAAUUAUGAGUGGGCCUGGUCAGUGUUGCCCGCACAGAACAGAGGCCCCAGAGCAUGGGGAGGCUCCAUGGACUCAUGCAGAGUCACACAACUCCUGAAGAGUGGACCCAGAAUUUGCACCUGUCACGUGACCUCCUAAGCACCCACUUUCUGCUGCUGCCUUCUAGUGCUCAGAAUCUCCAUGCUCCAUCACCCUGAGGGACUCCUGCUCUUUAGCACACAGGGAAGGGGAGCCAACCACCGCAGACCGAGGACCUGUGUUCAGCCAGGCCAUCUUUCCAGGAUAUGGAGAAACCCUGACUCCAAACAUCACCCCACCCAGGCUCCCGGGCAAGCUUCACUUUCUAGGAGGUCCUGUCUCCCCUCCUGAUCAAAUGGAGUCCUGUCAGGUCUGAGAAAGACACAGCUGCCUUGGGACAGGCCAACCCACACCAAUGCUUCCCCCGAACAGUGCUUGCCCAGACAGCUUUGGCAUUCUGGCAUAUACUUUGGGACUGGAAGUUGUUAUUGUUUCCCUGGCAACCACCAUAGAUGAAGAGUUGGCACGUGCCGUUUUUCUUAUUAUACCACCAACGAGGGAAGUAAGCCAUGCAGUAGCCAGAGUCUUUUGGUAGGCUGCAAAUAUCUGCGGAGGAACCCCAGAGUUGAGAGCUCAAGAGUGCACAACCCGAAACAAAAUAAUGAGAGCCACCUUCCCCUUCUCCUUCCCCUUGGAGCAAACUCUUUCUCCCCCUCCCGCUCCAGUGGUUCAACACCUGAAACAUUUCGUGUACUUGUGGAAGAUGCUACGGAGGAUAUCCGCGUCCCUGGAGGUAGGCAUCCUUGUGGAUGGUUAUGGUCUGAACAUGAAAUGUCCCCUCACAGGCUUACAUUCCGAAGACUUGUCACCAGCUGGGGGUGACAUUUUUGGAGGCUGUGGGACCUGUUAGGAGGCGGAGCCUGGGGUUGGGGAUUUAGCUCAGCGGUAGAGUGCUUACCUAGCUAGCGCAAGGCCCUGGGUUCGGUCCCCAGCUCCGGGUCCCCAGCUCCGAGAAAAAAAAAAAAAAAAGGAGGCGGAGCCUGGCUGGAGGAAGGAUGUCAAUGGGAGAGGACUCUUUAAGGUUAUAGCAUAACUCUGGUUCCUGGACUGAAGCGGUUUUAGGAGUUCCCAUCACAUGUCUGACACCAUGAACUCCGCCAUGCUGUUUUCAUGGUGGGAUACAGAGGCUUCUUAAAACCGCAGGCCAUAAGAAACCUUUAGUAUGCAUGUUGUUUCUCUUGAGUAUCUAACACACAGGGGACACUCGCUUUUAGGUUUUAGGGUACUAAGAAUGGACUGGGGGCCUCAGGCCUGCUAGGCAAGCACUCUGUUAUUGAGCUGUAUCUUCAGUCUGUAAAUGCAGUCAGUUAAGGUGGUUGCAUGUGGGAGCCUCUAAUCCAAUACGGCUGAUGCUCUGACAAAGGAGUAAAUGUGUAUCUAUCUCCCUGAGAUACCCACACAGGGAAGAUGCCGUGUGGACUUGAAGGCAGAGAUCAGAACAAUGUAUCUACAAGCCAAGGAAUGCCAAAGAUUGCCAGCAAUCUACCCAGUAUUAAUACAGAGCUGUAUAAUAAAGUUCUCACUCAUGAGCCAGAGAGAUGGCUCAACAGAUAAAGACACUGUGUAACCCCGAUGACCUGAGUUCAAUUCCCAGAGACCACGUAAAGGUGGAAGAAGAGAACUGGAGUCUUCAGAGUUGUCCUCUAACCUCCCUCUCCUUCCCUCCCUCCCUGCCCCUCCCCCCACACACACUGGGCCUCACUGGCACCCUAACCUCAUCCUUUUAGCCUACAAAGCUGUCAGACAACACAUUGCUGUCCCUCUAUUGGAGUGACACUCACAAACCCACACAGUCUCCAGCUAGCCAAGCUCCAUGACCGUCAGUCUCCACAGUGUCAGUGGCUUCCCCCUCCUCACACUCAUCUCUCCACCAGGCUCUUGGAGCCUGAGUUUCACACCCAGGUUAUUGAGGCAGCCUCCAGUUCUUCCUUCUGCCUUCAUCCCUAGCACCUCCCACCAAAUCAGUCAUUGAUCCACCAGGGAGGAGGACAUAAUGGAUCUGAAAAUGAGGCAGUUGUGUCGUUCCAUACAUAAGACCUCGGCGUCAUCACAAGCUCCUUCCCUGUCUGGCUCCUAUGCCUGGCCCUGGCCUCUUUUGCCAUGAGAUCUCUUUAAGCCCCACACUGUAGCGAUUUUCAGUUCAGCACAGCAGGCUCCCCGGCACCUCCAGACCUCUGCGCAUCCACACGCACCAUCGAGUGCUAGCAGGAUGUUUAUUCUUCCUUCAAAAGCUUUCUCAAAAAUCAGUUCCUCUGGGGCUGGACAGAUGGCUCAGUGGUUAAGAGCACCGACUGCUCUUCCAGAAGUCCUGAGUUCAAAUCCCACACAGUAGCUCACAACCAUCUGUAAUGAGGUCUGAUGCCCUCUUCUGGUGUGUCUGAAGACAGCUACAGUGUACUCAUAUAUAAUAAAUAAAUAAAUACAUCUUUAAAAAAAA